UAAAUUGACUUAGCGGCGGACGGGUGAGUAACGCGUGGGUAACCCGCCUUACACUGGGGGAUAACAGUUAGAAAUGACUGCUAAUACCGCAUAAGCACACAGGGCCGCAUGGUCCGGUGUGAAAAACUCCGGUGGUGUAAGAUGGACCCGCGUCUGAUUAGGUAGUUGGUGGGGUAACGGCCCACCAAGCCGACGAUCAGUAGCCGACCUGAGAGGGUGACCGGCCACAUUGGGACUGAGACACGGCCCAA
Molecule: ribosomal RNA, 251 nt
Filed under: uncultured bacterium
Lineage: Bacteria
Description: partial 16S ribosomal RNA
Rfam family: Bacterial small subunit ribosomal RNA
Source: RNAcentral